AUACGUAGGUGACAAGCGUUAUCCGGAUUUACUGGGCGUAAAGGGCGUGUAGGCGGUCUUGCAAGUCAGAAGUGAAAUUCCUGAGCUCAACUCGGGCGCUGCUUCUGAAACUGCAGGACUUGAGUGCUGGAGGGGAUAGCGGAAUUCCUAGUGGAGCGGUAAAAUGCGCAGAUAUUAGGAAGAACACCGGUGGCGAAGGCGGCUAUCUGGACAGUAACUGACGCUGAGGCGCGAAAGCGUGGGGAGCAAACAGGAUUAGAUACCCUGGUAGUCCGCACAGUAAACGAUGAGCACUAAGUGUCGGAUGAAUUUUCGGCGCUGCAGUUAACACAAUAAGUGCUCCGCCUGGGGAGUACGGUCGCAAGACUGAAACUUAAAUGAAUUGGCGGGG
Molecule: ribosomal RNA, 391 nt
Filed under: uncultured bacterium
Lineage: Bacteria
Description: partial 16S ribosomal RNA
Rfam family: Bacterial small subunit ribosomal RNA
Source: RNAcentral